Hordeum vulgare subsp. vulgare (domesticated barley) is the source of this 2325-nucleotide RNA transcript. It is a transcript of the gene named putative pentatricopeptide repeat-containing protein At1g03510, with no coding region annotated. The record is from RefSeq and is a predicted model, not a curated record. NCBI's taxonomy places the organism in Eukaryota, Viridiplantae, Streptophyta, Magnoliopsida, Poales, Poaceae. The transcript has 3 exons.
CAACGGAGCGAAGCGAUGGACUCCCGCCACCAGCGGCUGGCGACGCUGACCAAGGCCCUCACCGCGCACGUCAACGCCGGCCGCCACCGCGAAGCGCUCGCCUUCUUCGCGCGCAUGGCCUCCGACCCGGCGCUCCCGCCGCUCGCCGACCCGUCCUUCGCCUACGCCCUCCCUCUCGCGCUCAAGUCCGCCGCCGCGCUCCGCCUCCCCUCCUCCUCCUCCGUCGCGCCCAUCCACGCGCUCGCGCGCAAGUGCAGCGGCCUCCUCAGCAACCCCUUCGUCGCCUCCGCGCUCGUCACCUCCUACGGUGCAUGCGCCGGCUCCUCCCCCGAGGCCGCGCGCCGCCUGUUCGAUGAAUUGCCCGGCCGCACCGCCGUCGUCUGGAGCGCCAUGAUCUCCGCCUACGUCCGUUCAGGGGACGUCUCCGCGGCCGCACGGGCGCUCGGGGACAUGGACGUCGCGCCCACCGACUCGUGCUUCAACUCGGUGAUCGCGGCAGUGGUAGAGUCCGGGGAAUGUCCGGCCCGUGCCGUCGAGCUCUACCGGCGGAUGCAAGGGAUGGGCGUCAAGCCCUCGCUCAUCACUCUGCUGGCGCUCGUCCCGGUGUGCACGGCGCUGGGCGCGCUGAGCUCAAUCAGGGAGGUGCAUGGCUUCGCGGUGCGGCAUGGCAUGUUCACGAGCUGCCACCUCGGGAGCUCCCUCAUCGAGGCGUACGGUCAGUGCGGCUCUUUGGUCGGAGCGCAGAGGGUUUUUGACCUGGUGGAAGGGCGCGACGUGGUUGUUUGGAGCUCCAUGGUAUCGGCGUAUGCGUUCCAUGGCCAUGGAGACGUUGCGAUGUCGCUUUUCAGGCGUAUGGAGCUGGAUAAGGUCCGGCCUGAUGGCAUCAUGUUCCUCGGCGUGUUGAAGGCGUGUGGCCAUGCUGGUCGUGCAGAUGACGCUUUGAAGUAUUUUGAUGUGUUAACCAAAACAUAUGGAGUGGAAGCAUGCGGAGAUCAUUAUUCGUGCUUGGUUGAUGUCUUGGGACGGGCAGGGAGGUUGCAUCAGGCCUAUGAUGUUAUACGGAUGAUGCCGGUUAGAGUUACCGCAAAGGCCUGGGGUGCUCUCCUUGCUGCUUGCAGGAAAUACGGGGAGGUAGGGCUGGCAGAAGUUGCAGCGACAGCGUUGUUUGAGAUUGAACCGAAGAAUGCAGGGAACUUUGUUUCGCUUGCAAAUAUCUAUUCGGGCUUGGGUAUGCAUGAGGAGGCAGAGCGGGUGAGAAGGGACAUGGAGCAACGAGGCUUGCAGAGCUCACCUGGAAGCAGUUGGACGAUACAACGCAAGUCAAGUGAACUUGUCUGAAGGAGGUUCGCAUUUGCUGCAUUUGGGAGUUUUGAUCACUCAGAACAAAGUUUAUUUGGAUACACAAUUUCUAUGUCCAUGAAAAUCAGAAGCUUUUCCGUGGCUUAGUGCAACUGUAAAUCCUGCAUAAACAUCAAAUUUCCGGCUGGGAAUGCUGGAAAGAAGCCAUUACCCUGUUAGUAGCCAUGUCAAUUAUCAAAGUUCAGUCCUAGCCUGAUCUUAUUACCAUCUUCUUUACACAUUUCCUACUUCAGUUUUAUGCAUCAUUUUUCAAUCUGACAUUGGAUGUAUUUUACAACAAUUUAUAUUCUUUUACAAUUUUAUGCAUCAGCUUACAAUGGAAUUCCAGUUCAAAGGACUGUAGAGGAAACAUAACUAUAUAUAUACUGUUUCUUAUUCUUACAAGAUUUUCAGCAAAGCAGUAGGUAUUUGCAACUAUCUAAUGCCACUCGGCUCUAAAUUGCUAUGUACAUUGUUGUCACAAUCCACAUUGCUGUCAGUGGAUAUUAACUUUACUGAGGUUAAUUACAUCGGUGCAUUGAACCAUUGUGAUUCUUUAUUAUGAGGCUAAACUAAUAUAUCUUAUGUCAGUUUCUACGGACCGAGGAACUAUAUUUAGCUUUCCAACGAGACUUCUACUAGCCUUUUUCUGUUAGUGGAUAUGAUGCUAGCAUUGGUGCUACUUUACCAAAGGCACGUCUUAUUGGAAAACUGAUAUAAAGAAGGCUAGUCAAAUAGGUGCAGCGGGCAAGAUCCCUGAUAUCCUUCCUUUAGCUUUUAACCAUAUUUAGUUUCAGAAUAGAUCAUUGUAGGGAUAUAUAAUACAACCACAUUGUACUUCUCGUUUGGUCAGUCAGUUCAGCUUGUUGUUUGAAGAUAGCAAGUCCUAGUUUAUAAUAUUUUGUAAGUUAUUAUCUCUUUGAAACAGUUCGUGGACUGUAGUACUGUUUAGCUUCAGCUAGUUUUGUGCUGAUGCUAAUAACAAAA